AUUGAACGCUGGCGGCAUGCUUUACACAUGCAAGUCGAACGGUAACAGGCCGCAAGGUGCUGACGAGUGGCGAACGGGUGAGUAAUGCAUCGGAACGUGCCCAGCCGUGGGGGAUAACUACUCGAAAGAGUAGCUAAUACCGCAUACGAUCUAUGGAUGAAAGCGGGGGACCGUAAGGCCUCGCGCGAUUGGAGCGGCCGAUGUCAGAUUAGGUAGUUGGUGGGGUAAAGGCUCACCAAGCCAACGAUCUGUAGCUGGUCUGAGAGGACAACCAGCCACACUGGGACUGAGACACGGCCCAGACUCCUACGGGAGGCAGCAGUGGGGAAUUUUGGACAAUGGGCGCAAUCCUGAUCCAGCAAUGCCGCGUGCAGGAAGAAGGCCUUCGGGUUGUAAACUGCUUUUGUACGGAACGAAACGGCUCUGGUUAAUACCCGGGGCUAAUGACGGUACCGUAAGAAUAAGCACCGGCUAACUACGUG
Molecule: ribosomal RNA, 482 nt
Filed under: uncultured bacterium
Lineage: Bacteria
Description: partial 16S ribosomal RNA
Rfam family: Bacterial small subunit ribosomal RNA
Source: RNAcentral